UUUACAGAUCUUAACAUUGAUGACAGCUUUGACAUAAAAUCAUUCUCUAUUCCACUCUUGCCUGGAAGUUCGCUGGUGAUUGAAAGACAACAAAAUAGAGCAGCUAAAGACAGGGAUUAUGUGAAUGAAUUUCAAGAAGAACUGUAUGUUAAUACCAGAAAACGCAACCAGCCAAGAAAACUGUUACAACCACUACAAUCCAGGCAAUUUG
This is a long non-coding RNA of Saccostrea cuccullata (small rock oyster), 211 nucleotides long. RefSeq lists it as uncharacterized. The transcript has 3 exons. The record is from RefSeq and is a predicted model, not a curated record. Lineage: Eukaryota; Metazoa; Mollusca; Bivalvia; Ostreida; Ostreidae.